GGAUUGUGGCUCAGUGGUAGAGCGCUCCCCUAGUACAGGCAGCACCCGGGUUUGAUCCUCAGCACCA
RNAcentral lists this transfer RNA (67 nucleotides) under Marmota monax (woodchuck). Its description in RNAcentral is "tRNA.Thr". The record is from RNAcentral. Lineage: Eukaryota; Metazoa; Chordata; Mammalia; Rodentia; Sciuridae.